RNAcentral lists this ribosomal RNA (516 nucleotides) under uncultured fungus. RNAcentral describes it as "SSU rRNA". It matches the Rfam family "Eukaryotic small subunit ribosomal RNA", at positions 209 to 725 of the family's 1831-position model. The record is from RNAcentral. Lineage: Eukaryota; Fungi.
AUUAGAUAAAAAACCAACGCCCUUCGGGGCUUCUUGGUGAUUCAUGAUAACUUUACGGAUCGCAUGGCCUUGCGCCGGCGACGGUUCAUUCAAAUUUCUGCCCUAUCAACUUUCGAUGGUAAGGUAUUGGCUUACCAUGGUUUCAACGGGUAACGGGGAAUUAGGGUUCGAUUCCGGAGAGGGAGCCUGAGAAACGGCUACCACAUCCAAGGAAGGCAGCAGGCGCGCAAAUUACCCAAUCCCGACACGGGGAGGUAGUGACAAUAAAUACUGAUACAGGGCUCUUUUGGGUCUUGUAAUUGGAAUGAGUACAAUUUAAACCUCUUAACGAGGAACAAUUGGAGGGCAAGUCUGGUGCCAGCAGCCGCGGUAAUUCCAGCUCCAAUAGCGUAUAUUAAAGUUGUUGCAGUUAAAAAGCUCGUAGUUGAACCUUGGGCCUGGCUGGCAGGUCCGCCUCACCGCGUGUACUCGUCCGGCCGGGCCUUCCUUCUGGAGAACCUCAUGCCCUUCACUGGG